AUACAGAGGGUGCAUGCGUUAUUCGGAAUUACUGGGCGUAAAGCGCGCGUAGGCGGAUGAUUAAGUCAGUUGUGAAAGCCCUGGGCUCAACCUAGGAACUGCAUCUGAUACUGGUCGUCUAGAGUUUAAGAGAGGGAAGUGGAAUUCCAGGUGUAGCAGUGAAAUGCGUAGAUAUCUGGAGGAACAUCAGUGGCGAAGGCGACUUCCUGGCUUAAAACUGACGCUGAGGUGCGAAAGCGUGGGUAGCGAACGGGAUUAGAAACCCCUGUAGUCC
RNAcentral lists this ribosomal RNA (274 nucleotides) under uncultured bacterium. RNAcentral describes it as "partial 16S ribosomal RNA". It matches the Rfam family "Bacterial small subunit ribosomal RNA", at positions 523 to 796 of the family's 1533-position model. The record is from RNAcentral.